This 450-nucleotide ribosomal RNA is filed under the name uncultured Glomeromycotina. RNAcentral describes it as "SSU rRNA". It matches the Rfam family "Eukaryotic small subunit ribosomal RNA", at positions 569 to 1025 of the family's 1831-position model. The record is from RNAcentral. Lineage: Eukaryota; Fungi; Glomeromycota.
AGCAGCCGCGGUAAUUCCAGCUCCAAUAGCGUAUAUUAAAGUUGUUGCAGUUAAAAAGCUCGUAGUUGAAUUUCGGGAUCAAGUCGUCGGUCGUGCUUAGGUACGUACUGGCGUCAUUGAUUUCUCCCUUCUGACGAACCAUGAUGUCAUUAAUUUGGUGUUAUGGGAAAUCAGGACUGUUACUUUGAAAAAAUUAGAGUGUUUAAAGCAGGCUCACGCUUGAAUACAUUAGCAUGGAAUAAUGAAAUAGGACGUUCGAUCCUAUUUUGUUGGUUUUAGGAUCAACGUAAUGAUUAAUAGGGAUAGUUGGGGGCAUUAGUAUUCAAUUGUCAGAGGUGAAAUUCUUGGAUUUAUUGAAGACUAACUACUGCGAAAGCAUUUGCCAAGGAUGUUUUCAUUAAUCAAGAACGAAAGUUAGGGGAUCGAAGACGAUCAGAUACCGUCGUAGUC